UCCCUGCUCCCUCCCCCUCUUUUCAGCAUGUUUUAGCUUGCUACACCUAAUGAGGAGAUUGAGAUACUCCCAAGCUGCCAUCUUGGACUGUGCAGGUGACCUUGAAGAUGGAACCCCCUUUGUGUUGGCUAAGAUGUUGAGGAAAAAGGAAGAAACUUGGAGUCUGAUGACUAUGGAGCCACCGUACCAGCCCUCAAUUGCCUAGCUCUAGAUUCCUUUCAUGUGAGAGAGAAAUAAAAUGCUCUUGUUUCAGCCA
Non-coding RNA from Leptonychotes weddellii (Weddell seal), 256 nucleotides. The record is from RefSeq and is a predicted model, not a curated record. NCBI's taxonomy places the organism in Eukaryota, Metazoa, Chordata, Mammalia, Carnivora, Phocidae.